Molecule: ribosomal RNA, 634 nt
Filed under: Leistus lihengae
Lineage: Eukaryota; Metazoa; Arthropoda; Insecta; Coleoptera; Carabidae
Description: partial large subunit ribosomal RNA
Rfam family: Bacterial large subunit ribosomal RNA (bases 388-547)
Source: RNAcentral
GUCCUUUUGAGUUUAAUUUAAGGUCUAACCUGCCCACUGAAAUUUUUAAUGGCCGCAGUAAUUUGACUGUGCAAAGGUAGCAUAAUAAUUAGUUUUUUAAUUAAAAGCUUGUAUGAAGGGUUGGACGAAAUAAAAUCUGUCUCUAUUUAAUUAAAUUUAGAAUUUAACUUUUAAGUUAAAAGGCUUAAAUAUUAUUAAAAGACGAGAAGACCCUAUAGAUCUUUAUAAUUUUUUUUUAUAAUUUUAAUUAGGAAUUAUUAAUUUUUUAUUAAAAAAAUUAUUUUAUUGGGGUAAUAUAAAGAUUUAAAAAAUUCUUUUUUAAAAUAAACAUAUAUUUAUGAUAUUAAUGAUCCAAUUUUAUUGAUUAUAAGAUUAAGUUACCUUAGGGAUAACAGCGUAAUUUUUUUUGAGAGUUCUUAUCGAUAAAAAAGUUUGCGACCUCGAUGUUGGAUUAAAGAUUAUUUUAGGUGUAGAAGCUUGGAAAUUUUGGUCUGUUCGACCAUUAAAUCUUUACAUGAUCUGAGUUCAGACCGGCGUAAGCCAGGUCGGUUUCUAUCUUUAAUAAAUUAAAAUAUUUUAGUACGAAAGGACCAAUUAUUUAAUAUAUUUAUAUUUAGUUUUUGAAUAUUAUUAA